CUUCUCGCCAUCAGGCCUGAUCAGGGUGUUGACCUUGGCCACAUCAAUGUCAUAGAGCUUCUUCACAGCCUGUUUGAUUGGUGCUUGUUGGCCUUGACAUCCACAGAUCGGAGGAGCCACGUCAAGUCUGAGCCUCAAGCACAUCACCGGGUGGCUUUCAGGCUGAAUGCCGGGCGGCCGGGCCAGCAGGGGCUACGGCACUGCACCGGCC
Pipistrellus kuhlii (Kuhl's pipistrelle) is the source of this 211-nucleotide long non-coding RNA. RefSeq lists it as uncharacterized. The transcript has 3 exons. Lineage: Eukaryota; Metazoa; Chordata; Mammalia; Chiroptera; Vespertilionidae. The record is from RefSeq and is a predicted model, not a curated record.